RNAcentral lists this ribosomal RNA (493 nucleotides) under uncultured bacterium. RNAcentral describes it as "bacterial SSU rRNA". It matches the Rfam family "Bacterial small subunit ribosomal RNA", at positions 24 to 507 of the family's 1533-position model. The record is from RNAcentral.
UCAGAGUGAACGCUGGCGGCAGGCCUAAUACAUGCAAGUCGAACGGCAGCACAGCAGAGCUUGCUCUGUGGGUGGCGAGUGGCAGACGGGUGAGGAAUACGUGGGAAUCUGCCCAGUCGUGGGGGAUAACGUAGGGAAACUUACGCUAAUACCGCAUGCGCCCUUCGGGGAAAGCCGGGGACCUUCGGGCCUGGCGCGAUUGGAUGAGCCCACGUCGGAUUAGCUAGUUGGCGGGGUAAAGGCCCACCAAGGCGACGAUCCGUAGCUGGUCUGAGAGGAUGAUCAGCCACACUGGAACUGAGACACGGUCCAGACUCCUACGGGAGGCAGCAGUAGGGAAUAUUGGACAAUGGGCGCAAGCCUGAUCCAGCCAUGCCGCGUGAGUGAAGAAGGCCCUCGGGUUGUAAAGCUCUUUUGUCCGGAAAGAAAAGCGCCGGGUUAAUACCCUGGUGUCCUGACGGUACCGGAAGAAUAAGCACCGGCUAACUUCGUG